RNAcentral lists this ribosomal RNA (352 nucleotides) under uncultured fungus. Its description in RNAcentral is "bacterial SSU rRNA". It matches the Rfam family "Eukaryotic small subunit ribosomal RNA", at positions 1326 to 1698 of the family's 1831-position model. Lineage: Eukaryota; Fungi. The record is from RNAcentral.
CGAUAACGAACGAGACCUUAACCUGCUAAAUAGUCACGCAAACCUUGUGUUUGUGGCCGACUUCUUAGAGGGACUGUUGACGUUUAGUCAAUGGAAGUUUGAGGCAAUAACAGGUCUGUGAUGCCCUUAGAUGUUCUGGGCUGCACGCGCGCUACACUGAUGAAGUCAACGAGUUCACAUCCUUUAUCGGAAGAUAUGGGUAAUCUUUUGAAACUUCAUCGUGCUGGGGAUAGAGCAUUGCAAUUAUUGCUCUUAAACGAGGAAUCCCUAGUAAGCACAAGUCACCAGCUUGUGCUGAUUACGUCCCUGCCCUUUGUACACACCGCCCGUCGCUACUACCGAUUGAAUGGCU